GGCUCAGAGUGAACGCUGGCGGCAGGCCUAAUACAUGCAAGUCGAACGGCAGCACAGUGGAGCUUGCUCCAUGGGUGGCGAGUGGCGGACGGGUGAGGAAUACAUGGGAAUCUGCCCAGUCGUGGGGGAUAACGUAUGGAAACGUACGCUAAUACCGCAUGCGCCCUUCGGGGGAAAGUCGGGGACCGCAAGGCCUGACGCGAUUGGAUGAGCCCAUGUUCGAUUAGCUAGUUGGCGGGGUAACGGCCCACCAAGGCGACGAUCGAUAGCUGGUCUGAGAGGAUGAUCAGCCACACUGGAACUGAGACACGGUCCAGACUCCUACGGGAGGCAGCAGUAGGGAAUAUUGGACAAUGGGCGCAAGCCUGAUCCAGCCAUGCCGCGUGAGUGAAGAAGGCCCUCGGGUUGUAAAGCUCUUUGUUGGGGAAGAAAAGCAGUUGGUUAAUACCCGAUUGUUCUGACGGUACCCAAAGAAUAAGCACCGGCUAACUUCGUG
RNAcentral lists this ribosomal RNA (496 nucleotides) under uncultured bacterium. RNAcentral describes it as "bacterial SSU rRNA". It matches the Rfam family "Bacterial small subunit ribosomal RNA", at positions 21 to 507 of the family's 1533-position model. The record is from RNAcentral.